This is a non-coding RNA of Paramuricea clavata, 339 nucleotides long. Lineage: Eukaryota; Metazoa; Cnidaria; Anthozoa; Malacalcyonacea; Plexauridae. The record is from the annotation of a GenBank genome assembly.
GUGGGGUAUAAGAGGUGGGGUAUAAGAGGUGGGGUAUAAGAGGUGGGGUAUAAGAGGUGGGAUAUAAGAGGUGGGGUAUAAGAGGUGGGGUAUAAGAGGUGAGGUAUAAGAGGUGAGGUAUGAGAGGUGAGGUAUAAGAGGUGAGGUAUAAGAGGUGAGGUAUAAGUGGUGAGGUAUAAGAGGUGAGGUAUAAGAGGUGAGGUAUAAGAGGUGAGGUAUAAGAGGUGGGGUAUAAGAGGUGGGGUAUAAGAGGUGAGGUAUAAGAGGUGAGGUAUAAGAGGUGAGGUAUAAGAGGUGAGGUAUAAGAGGUGAGGUAUAAGAGGUGAGGUAUAAGAGGUG